AGCCCCGCCGAGCUGAGCGGGGCGGCCCCGGGUCGGGGUUGUGUGGUGCUGCGAGGCUCCGUCAGGUGCCUGCCCGUGGGCCUGUCGGGCUUCCAUCCCUCCCGCAGCACGGCUUGUGCUGCACCGUGGGCGUUCUGUCAGGAUUUGGUGCUUCUAGGUGAAGUUUCACAGAUGUCCAUCGAAUGGAAUCGGUGCAGAAAUACUGGCCUGGGUGUACGGGGAGACCAGCAGAUGUGAGGAUGGAUCCAUUGGCUUCACUGGGGUGGGAAAGAUGCUCAAGAAAAACGCUUGGGAACAUCACCAGCAUGAAGGAAAAGAGAGCAGAUCUGCUCCAUCUGUGUAGAAAUAACAUGUU
RNAcentral lists this long non-coding RNA (355 nucleotides) under Gallus gallus (chicken). Its description in RNAcentral is "long non-coding RNA NONGGAT003086". Lineage: Eukaryota; Metazoa; Chordata; Aves; Galliformes; Phasianidae. The record is from RNAcentral.